UACGGGGGGGGCAAGCGUUGUUCGGAAUUACUGGGCGUAAAGGGCUCGUAGGCGGCCAACUAAGUCAGACGUGAAAUCCCUCGGCUUAACCGGGGAACUGCGUCUGAUACUGGAUGGCUUGAGGUUGGGAGAGGGAUGCGGAAUUCCAGGUGUAGCGGUGAAAUGCGUAGAUAUCUGGAGGAACAUCAGUGGCGAAGGCGGCCUGCUGGGCUGUUGCUGACGCUGAGGCGCGACAGCGUGGGGAGCAAACAGG
RNAcentral lists this ribosomal RNA (253 nucleotides) under uncultured bacterium. Its description in RNAcentral is "partial 16S ribosomal RNA". It matches the Rfam family "Bacterial small subunit ribosomal RNA", at positions 524 to 776 of the family's 1533-position model. The record is from RNAcentral.